GAGAUAGAUAUGUGUGGCCAGUCUCUGGUGCUGUUAACAAGCCUCAUCAUAAAGAUGGAGAUGAUAAG
Non-coding RNA from Echinops telfairi (small Madagascar hedgehog), 68 nucleotides. The record is from Rfam. Lineage: Eukaryota; Metazoa; Chordata; Mammalia; Afrosoricida; Tenrecidae.